AGAUAUUCAGUAUGGAGUUCUUGUUUAUGGCGUCACCCAAGGAUCACCUGCCCACAGAAGUGGCUUGAAACCUGGUGAUAUUAUUACACACAUUGAUAAGCAAGAGAUCAAAUCGUCAAAGGAAGUAUAUAGUGCUGUGAAGAGUGAAAAUCAGUUAAGGAUCUCGGUCGUUCGAGGUCAAAAGAUCAUGCAAUUAACAGUUACGCCUGAAAUUAUUUAAAUGAGAAAGUGCAGCAAUGCCCAUAAAUAUAAGGUGAAGCAAAUGGCGCAAUCUAUUGUUAAACUUCUUGUUUUAGUAUUCUAAAUAUAUUAGAAGAAUAUCAAUUCACAUUGAAGCAAUAUUUGAAUAAACUUGUUCUGUAUUUCUGUAA
Anneissia japonica is the source of this 371-nucleotide long non-coding RNA. RefSeq lists it as uncharacterized. Lineage: Eukaryota; Metazoa; Echinodermata; Crinoidea; Comatulida; Comatulidae. The transcript is spliced from 2 exons. The record is from RefSeq and is a predicted model, not a curated record.